GGGUUGUGAGGUUAAGCGACUAAGCGUACACGGUGGAUGCCCUGGCAGUCAGAGGCGAUGAAGGACGUGCUAAUCUGCGAUAAGCGCCGGUAAGGUGAUAUGAACCGUUAUAACCGGCGAUUUCCGAAUGGGGAAACCCAGUGUGACUCGUCACACUAUCAUUAACUGAAUCCAUAGGUUAAUGAGGCGAACCGGGGGAACUGAAACAUCUAAGUACCCCGAGGAAAAGAAAUCAACCGAGAUUCCCCCAGUAGCGGCGAGCGAACGGGGAGGAGCCCAGAGCCUGAAUCAGCAUGUGUGUUAGUGGAAGCGUCUGGAAAGGCGCGCGAUACAGGGUGACAGCCCCGUACACAAAAGCGCAUGUGCUGUGAGCUCGAUGAGUAGGGCGGGACACGUGGUAUCCUGUCUGAAUAUGGGGGGACCAUCCUCCAAGGCUAAAUACUCCUGACUGACCGAUAGUGAACCAGUACCGUGAGGGAAAGGCGAAAAGAACCCCGGCGAGGGGAGUGAAAAAGAACCUGAAACCGUGUACGUACAAGCAGUGGGAGCACCCUUUGGGGUGUGACUGCGUACCUUUUGUAUAAUGGGUCAGCGACUUAUAUUCUGUAGCAAGGUUAACCGUAUAGGGGAGCCGCAGGGAAACCGAGUCUUAACCGGGCGUUAAGUUGCAGGGUAUAGACCCGAAACCCGGUGAUCUAGCCAUGGGCAGGUUGAAGGUUGGGUAACACUAACUGGAGGACCGAACCGACUAAUGUUGAAAAAUUAGCGGAUGACCUGUGGCUGGGGGUGAAAGGCCAAUCAAACCGGGAGAUAGCUGGUUCUCCCCGAAAGCUAUUUAGGUAGCGCCUCGUGAAUUCAUCUCCGGGGGUAGAGCACUGUUUCGGCUAGGGGGCCAUCCCGGCUUACCAACCCGAUGCAAACUGCGAAUACCGGAGAAUGUUAUCACGGGAGACACACGGCGGGUGCUAACGUCCGUCGUGAAGAGGGAAACAACCCAGACCGCCAGCUAAGGUCCCAAAGUCAUGGUUAAGUGGGAAACGAUGUGGGAAGGCCCAGACAGCCAGGAUGUUGGCUUAGAAGCAGCCAUCAUUUAAAGAAAGCGUAAUAGCUCACUGGUCGAGUCGGCCUGCGCGGAAGAUGUAACGGGGCUAAACCAUGCACCGAAGCUGCGGCAGCGACACUCAGGUGUUGUUGGGUAGGGGAGCGUUCUGUAAGCCUGCGAAGGUGGCCUGUGAGGGUUGCUGGAGGUAUCAGAAGUGCGAAUGCUGACAUAAGUAACGAUAAAGCGGGUGAAAAGCCCGCUCGCCGGAAGACCAAGGGUUCCUGUCCAACGUUAAUCGGGGCAGGGUGAGUCGACCCCUAAGGCGAGGCCGAAAGGCGUAGUCGAUGGGAAACGGGUUAAUAUUCCCGUACUUGGUGUUACUGCGAAGGGGGGACGGAGAAGGCUAUGUUGGCCGGGCGACGGUUGUCCCGGUUUAAGCGUGUAGGCUGGUUUUCCAGGCAAAUCCGGAAAAUCAAGGCUGAGGCGUGACGACGAGGCACUACGGUGCUGAAGCAACAAAUGCCCUGCUUCCAGGAAAAGCCUCUAAGCAUCAGGUAACACGAAAUCGUACCCCAAACCGACACAGGUGGUCAGGUAGAGAAUACCAAGGCGCUUGAGAGAACUCGGGUGAAGGAACUAGGCAAAAUGGUGCCGUAACUUCGGGAGAAGGCACGCUGACAUGUAGGUGAAGUGAUUUACUCAUGGAGCUGAAGUCAGUCGAAGAUACCAGCUGGCUGCAACUGUUUAUUAAAAACACAGCACUGUGCAAACACGAAAGUGGACGUAUACGGUGUGACGCCUGCCCGGUGCCGGAAGGUUAAUUGAUGGGGUCAGCGCAAGCGAAGCUCCUGAUCGAAGCCCCGGUAAACGGCGGCCGUAACUAUAACGGUCCUAAGGUAGCGAAAUUCCUUGUCGGGUAAGUUCCGACCUGCACGAAUGGCGUAAUGAUGGCCAGGCUGUCUCCACCCGAGACUCAGUGAAAUUGAACUCGCUGUGAAGAUGCAGUGUACCCGCGGCAAGACGGAAAGACCCCGUGAACCUUUACUAUAGCUUGACACUGAACAUUGAGCCUUGAUGUGUAGGAUAGGUGGGAGGCUUUGAAGUGUGGACGCCAGUCUGCAUGGAGCCGACCUUGAAAUACCACCCUUUAAUGUUUGAUGUUCUAACGUGGACCCGUUACCCGGGUUGCGGACAGUGUCUGGUGGGUAGUUUGACUGGGGCGGUCUCCUCCUAAAGAGUAACGGAGGAGCACGAAGGUUGGCUAAUCCUGGUCGGACAUCAGGAGGUUAGUGCAAUGGCAUAAGCCAGCUUGACUGCGAGCGUGACGGCGCGAGCAGGUGCGAAAGCAGGUCAUAGUGAUCCGGUGGUUCUGAAUGGAAGGGCCAUCGCUCAACGGAUAAAAGGUACUCCGGGGAUAACAGGCUGAUACCGCCCAAGAGUUCAUAUCGACGGCGGUGUUUGGCACCUCGAUGUCGGCUCAUCACAUCCUGGGGCUGAAGUAGGUCCCAAGGGUAUGGCUGUUCGCCAUUUAAAGUGGUACGCGAGCUGGGUUUAGAACGUCGUGAGACAGUUCGGUCCCUAUCUGCCGUGGGCGCUGGAGAACUGAGGGGGGCUGCUCCUAGUACGAGAGGACCGGAGUGGACGCAUCACUGGUGUUCGGGUUGUCAUGCCAAUGGCACUGCCCGGUAGCUAAAUGCGGAAGAGAUAAGUGCUGAAAGCAUCUAAGCACGAAACUUGCCCCGAGAUGAGUUCUCCCUGAGACUUAGAGUCUCCUGAAGGAACGUUGAAGACGACGACGUUGAUAGGCCGGGUGUGUAAGCGCAGCGAUGCGUUGAGCUAACCGGUACUAAUGAACCGUGAGGCUUAACCUUACAACGCCGAAG
RNAcentral lists this ribosomal RNA (2925 nucleotides) under Salmonella enterica subsp. enterica serovar Minnesota str. ATCC 49284. RNAcentral's name for it is "bacterial LSU rRNA". It matches the Rfam family "Bacterial large subunit ribosomal RNA". Lineage: Bacteria; Pseudomonadati; Pseudomonadota; Gammaproteobacteria; Enterobacterales; Enterobacteriaceae. The record is from RNAcentral.